Taeniopygia guttata (zebra finch) is the source of this 527-nucleotide non-coding RNA. Lineage: Eukaryota; Metazoa; Chordata; Aves; Passeriformes; Estrildidae. The record is from RefSeq and is a predicted model, not a curated record.
GCGGCGGAGGGUCGGGCCGGCCGCGGAGGGUCGGGCCGGCCGCGGAGGGUCGGGCCGGCCGCGGAGGGUCGGGCCGGCCGCGGAGGGUCGGGCCGGCGGCGUCACUUGAGCGCAGUGCGAGUGAUUUGGGAGCGGGCCUGUCUCGCUUAGACCGUUCUGGUCAAUCCGCGAAAGCCAGAAAGAAGUGACGUUAACCUACCUGUGUUUCCACGAACACAAUUGUUUAGACAGAGUCCCAGGGUAAUGGAAAUCGCUGCACUGUCCAGUCCCUUCGAUGGCAACAGUGAUGGACUGAUCCCAGUUCACCUCCAAUUCUAUUAACUGUGAAGAGCUACGACAGUUCAUUUUGAAGAUCCGAGAGGAAAAUAUUGCAGUAAAUCAGUAAAUGUGUUAUUGCAAUUUCCUGCCCGUAUAAGAAAUGUCUUUCCAUUAAAAAAUCUAAUAGUGAGUUAAGUCUAAUAUCUUUUAUUGGUUUAAAUGUCAAAUUUCCCAUCAGUAUUUAAUAAAUCACGUAUACAAAAUGUGAA